CGUUGCCUUUCGAGAAUGACUUAGCGGCGGACGGGUGAGUACACGUAGGCAACCUGCCCUUCAGACUGGGAUAACUACCGGAAACGGUAGCUAAUACCGGAUAAUUUCUUUUUUCUCCUGAGAGAAGAAUGAAAGACGGGAGCAAUCUGUCACUGAGGGAUGGGCCUGCGGCGCAUUAGCUAGUUGGUGGGGUAACGGCCCACCAAGGCGACGAUGCGUAGCCGACCUGAGAGGGUGACGGCACACUGGGACUGAGACACGGCCCAGACUCCUCGGGAGGCAGCAGUAGGGAAUCUUCCGCAAUGGGCGAAAGCCUGACGGAGCAACGCCGCGUGAGUGAUGAAGGUUUUCGGAUCGUAAAGCUCUGUUGCCAGGGAAGAACGUCCGGUAGAGUACUGCUACGGAGUGACGGUCCUGAGAAGAAAGCCCCGGCUAACUACGUGCCAGCAGCCGCGGGUAAUACGUAGGGGGCAAGCGUUGUCCGGAAUUAUUGGGCGUAAAGCGCGCGCAGGCGGGCUAUUUAAGUCUGGUGUUUUAAACCUUGGGCUCAACCUGAGGUCGCACUGGAAACUGGGUGGCUUGAGUACGGAAGAGGAAAGUGGAAUUCAUGACGUGUAGCGGUGAAAUGCGUAGAUAUGUGGAGGAACACCAGUGGCGAAGGCGACUUUCUGGGCUGUAACUGACGCUGAGGCGCGAAAGCGUGGGGAGCAAACAGGAAUUAGAAUACCCUGGUAGUCCACGCCGUAAACGAUGAGUGCCUAGGUGUUUAGGGGUUUCGAUCCCUUGGUGCCGAAGUUACACAGUAAGCACUCCGCCUGGGGAGUCGGCGCAAGACUGAACUCAAAGGAAUUGACGGGGACCCGCACAAGCAGUGGAGUAUGUGGUUUAAUUCGAAGCAACGCGAAGAACCUUACCAGGUCUUGACAAUCCCUCUGAAUCUGCUAGAGAUAGCUAGCGGCCUUCGGGACAGAGGAGACAGGUGGUGCAAUGGUUGUCGUCAGCUCGUGUCGUGAGAUGUUGGGUUUAAGUCCCGCAACGAGCGCAACCCUUAACUUUAGUUGCCAGCAGGUAUAUGCCUGGGCACCUCUAGAGUGACUGCCGGUGACAAACCGGAGGAAGGUGGGGAUGACGUCAAAUCAUCAUGCCCCUUAUGACCUGGGCUCACACGUUCUCAAU
RNAcentral lists this ribosomal RNA (1176 nucleotides) under Paenibacillus sp. BS3. RNAcentral describes it as "bacterial SSU rRNA". It matches the Rfam family "Bacterial small subunit ribosomal RNA", at positions 72 to 1231 of the family's 1533-position model. Lineage: Bacteria; Bacillati; Bacillota; Bacilli; Caryophanales; Paenibacillaceae. The record is from RNAcentral.